Molecule: ribosomal RNA, 404 nt
Filed under: Pseudomonas sp.
Lineage: Bacteria; Pseudomonadati; Pseudomonadota; Gammaproteobacteria; Pseudomonadales; Pseudomonadaceae
Also listed under: 1 other name
Description: partial 16S ribosomal RNA
Rfam family: Bacterial small subunit ribosomal RNA
Source: RNAcentral
UGGGGAAUAUUGGACAAUGGGCGCAAGCCUGAUCCAGCCAUGCCGCGUGAGUGAUGAAGGCCCUAGGGUUGUAAAGCUCUUUCACCGGAGAAGAUAAUGACGGUAACCGGAGAAGAAGCCCCGGCUAACUUCGUGCCAGCAGCCGCGGUAAUACGAAGGGGGCUAGCGUUGUUCGGAUUUACUGGGCGUAAAGCGCACGUAGGCGGACUUUUAAGUCAGGGGUGAAAUCCCGGGGCUCAACCCCGGAACUGCCUUUGAUACUGGAAGUCUUGAGUAUGGUAGAGGUGAGUGGAAUUCCGAGUGUAGAGGUGAAAUUCGUAGAUAUUCGGAGGAACACCAGUGGCGAAGGCGGCUCACUGGACCAUUACUGACGCUGAGGUGCGAAAGCGUGGGGAGCAAACAGG